Struthio camelus australis is the source of this 4518-nucleotide non-coding RNA. The record is from RefSeq and is a predicted model, not a curated record. Lineage: Eukaryota; Metazoa; Chordata; Aves; Struthioniformes; Struthionidae.
AGGAAAUGGUAGCCCAGAUGGAGUCGGCUUUACUAUCUCCAAAGCCAUCUGAAGAUGAGUUUGUGCCUUUUUUUUUAAAUGAUGGAUUUGGUGCAGCUGGAUUUUCUGAAGUUUGAGGAACAAUGCCUUAAGUAAAAAAUAAAAACAAAACAAAAAACAAAAAAAACCACAGCAGUUCGUGAAUAUUUUUCCUCUGUUUGGGAAAGCCAAGAACUGCCAUCAGGAAGGAAGACUUUUUGGCUUGUGCUGGCAUGAUUAUGGGAAGCAGGCAUCAGCUGAAUAGAGCGUCUCCAAAAACUGUCUACAAGUUUGGAUUUGUUUUGUUUUCUUUCAUUGCUGUUUCAAAAAAAAAAAAAAAUUAAGGUAGUUGCCAAGAAAGUGGCAAAUACUGUUGGGUCUUUGAAAUUUAACCAUUUUUUAAAUCGAAUUUUCAAAUGUUUUCUCUCUUCUACAUUAUCUAGCAAUUGAAUUUAUCAAUUUGGUUGUUGAAGCAUGUAUUAGACACAAUUGCAGGUUUAAGACUGGAAUGCUUUUUAUAAAAAGCAACUCGCAUGAGAUAUUGCUUAAAUUGUUAGGUAUAAAUAUAUAUAUGUGUAUAAUGUAUAUUCCAAAUGUAUUCCAAGCUUAGAAACCGGAUUCUUAUGAAUUAUUGAUAAAAUAUUUAUAAUGCAUUUAUAGAAAAAUAUAUAUAAUAAAUGCAUACUAUAAUAGUAGCCAUUGAAAGCUCCAAAAAAAAGAUUUGUGAAUUGGAAUGUAAAGGUGCUUUUGGAAAAGGAUCCAGUUUGAAACUUGAGUACUUUCAAACUAUAAUUUGGAAAGUUUUCAGAACGCCAACACGUUAGCCACCGGGCAACUACCCUAAACAUUUGUAUUUUAAGUUAAGGUUUUUAGUUGUGAUCCUUUUCUAACAAAAAUAAGUUUUUUAUAGCAAAGAUUAUGAAUUUGCUGUUAAUUUUUAUAUCAAUAUUUCACAAAACCCUACAGAAGCCUUGUUUGUGUGAAUCUGACGUUUAUUUUCCAUUUGGCAGUUGUUUUUAUUUUUUAUUUUUCUGAACGGCAACGGUGUCUAAACCUUUUUCCUUCCUUAUUUCUUUCUUGUACAUUAUUUUCCUUUUUUUUAAAAAAAAAAAAGUCUUUUGUACAGUGAGCAGCUUUCUGCAGGCGUAAGGAAUUGUUGCAGAUCGUCAGAGUUUAUUUUUGGAAAGCGUGCAUUUAAUGAAGAGGAGGGAAUGCAAUGGGCUCUUUUGUAUAAUGAUACCAACGACUGUAUAUUUCCUCAGUUCUGUUAUAGUAGCUAUGUAAAGAAAAUAAGGAGUUUUCUUACCUUACACAUAGUAGUAUUACAAUGGGUGAUGUAUUUAUCCUCCAUGUGGAUUGUAGUGAGGAUUACAUACGGCUUUAGUAGCUACCAUAUGGAAGGCUUGUCAGACACUCUUGGGACAACUGGCAUUUUCUCUCUCGCGCACACAAAUACGCACUCACACUCACACUCGCACUCACACACACACACACACACACACGCACUGCCUCUCUCCUCUUCUUUCCGAAUGACCGUGACUGGGAGAAUUGCAACGUUAGCUAUUUGAAGAACUUUUUCCUAAAUUAUUUUUCAGAGGAAGGUGUUGCUGGUCGAGCAAGUUUAAGCUUCAGCCUUGGCUGGAUUUCCCUGUCGCCUUUUACAAAUGGCCCGGUGGAGAAGCAGCUAGUUCCUGGGUUGAAGAGUUAAACAGCUUAAAGGAGACCAAAUUGACACCUGUUACCUUCUCAAAGCAGUGUAGGGUAGCGCAGAUCCCUCAUCCGAACAACCAAGGGUAUAUUAUUAUGACAACUGACAGGGUCGUUUUAUAGUAACUUAUUUUCCAGUUCUUGAAGUGGCUAUUUUCAUUCCAUUGAGAACCUACUCGUGGAAAGAAUUUGAGGCAUACCAUCCAUGUGAGCAAAUGCAAGAGGGUUUUGUUUUGUUUUCAGGUUUGUAAUGCAAUUUGAAAAACAGACACUACUGUAUUUGAGUUUUGCUAACCCAAGUACAUUUUAAAAUUAUGAAGAGCUUUGGUCAUUGGAGCCGUCUUCAGUGUAUUCUAAAAACAGUGCUCACGUGUGAAAGCACAGCAUACCUGCAGAUGUUCUUUCUUAAAAUGACCACUUUGCUGCUGUGAUCUCCAAUUAAUCUGCGGAAUUUGGUGACUUGAUGUUCAGAAUGGUCACUUAGCCUUUUAUAAGGUGUCGGCGGUAAACCACGUUUACAUGAUCGCUUCUGUUGUCAGACCUUCCUAGCAGUUUUCUACUUUUAGUAUCAGUUGUGGAAAGAUCUUUUUUUUUUCUUUUCUCGUGUUCCUGAGAAUUGCUGACUGACUGUGCUGACUUGGUUUCUUUUAAGGUUAGGUGACUGUCGCAAGCCUCAGCUGCUCAGUAGCUUUCCGGCUUGUUGCUUCAGGAUGCCCCGUUCAUUUCUUGAAAUCGGUUUGCUAAGCUUUUUGCUGGAGGUAGAAAGAUUUCCCAAGACACGAAAGCUUGUCUCCUCCCGAGUCCAGAUCAUGUGAAUUUGUUCCUCAGAUACGCCCGCUCCGUGGCUCAGGUCUGGAUGAUCUAGGAGCCCGUGCAGACAGAAAGCAAAACGGGCCUCUCGUUUUUGGGGAUUGCCAGGGUUUGUACGUUUUGGGUUUUGGGGUUUUUUUUUUGCGUUUCCUCUUUUUUUUAAUUUUUCUCCCCCACCUUUUGAGCCAUGAACUUCUCCCUUCAGCCAGAGGGCCGGGGUGAGGGUGACGUGGGCUGGGGGGACGUUUUUCCCCUGCUUGGAAGGGAACGAACAGCUUGAAAUCGUCUGAUUGAUAAGGAAGCGAGUCCCAGUUUGCAGUGUGCGAUUAAUCAUUUGUGGGUUUUUUUUGGGGGGGAGGCGGGUUGAUUUUUUUUUGGUUUGUUUUUUUUUUUACUUUUCGAUACAAAACAUUCCUUUUUUAUUAGUCGCAGUCAUGUAUUCAUUCCAUUCUUCCUUUUGUAAACUUUUUGGGCCCACGUCUUUUAUGGGCAUUGAUAUAUAUAAAUAUAUAUAUAAAUAUAUAUGAAUAUAUUUUUUUAAGUUUCCUACACCUUGAGGUUGCAUGGUCUGUAAGGCUGGCAUGUCUUUAUAUUGUAUACAGAUUUUGCACGCCAAACUUGGCAGCUUUGAAAAAGAAAAAAAAAAACACAAUUUUUUUUUUUUUUUCCUCUCGUGGCAUUUGCGGAGACAAAGGUUGGGACAUUUUUCGGUCACAAACACACACACUCACACAAAUACACACAAAGGAAGAAGAGCGGGAAAUUUUUUUGCGUCUUACUGAACUUAAUAAGAAAUUGUGCUUUUUAUUGUAAAAAAAAAAGAAUAAAUAAAAAGGACUACUUAAACAUUUCUCAUUUUAAGAAGAAAGAGACGUUUAUCUAGCACUUGUGACUUACCAAUAAUAGAGUUUAUUGUAUUUAUGUGGAAACAGUGUUUUUAAGGAAACUACGCAGAACACACAAAGUAAACUGCCUGUGUCUUUCUUUUUCUUUUUUUUUAAUUUGGUUGGGUAUUUUAAUUUCUUCACAGGGUGGGGAGGUUGGACACAACCCUUUGUCAACACACGUGGUCAUUAAUUCUGAGAAGAUGACUGACGACGACUUUAAAGAGUUAACUCUUCAGCACAGCUGUGUUAACUUUUUUAAAAUUACUUUUACAUGAUGUAUUGGUAGGUUUCACUUUAAACAGUCCUGUACUGUGCAACACUGUGGUUUAAAACAAGACUUUACAUCAAAAGGAAAACAUGUUUCUUCAUUGUCAUGAAGUUGAGCUCGUUCUCAGCUCAUCUUCACUUUGUCUUUGAUAUUGAUGAAAAAGUAUCCUAUUGAAAGAAAAUAAAUUAACACUUUUCUGUGCUCCAUAGUGGAGGCGCUAUUUUCCAAUUUAUGAGGAUGACAAACUUAUAUAUAUAAUAUAUAUAUAAAAGUGGGGGGAGGGGUUGAAACAUUAUUCACCCAAGAGCUUAUUACAGAUAUGUAGUAUCAAAAAGUUGUAACUAUAUUAUAUUCUACUUUAUACCUAUACAUGCUCAGUAUGACAUCACCAUUGGUAGCAGCUACCGGUUUACGAUGUAAUUUAGACACAGUUUCACUCUUAUUGUAUGGACCCUACUUUAAGUGAUGGUAGCAUUCUUUGUGCUAAAUUUUCUGAUGGUCCUUUCUUUUACUUGGUGGAGUUGGAAUUUUUUUUCAUUCUUGUUUUUUGUUUGUUUUUGUUUUGUUUUUUCUUUUUCCCUUUUUUUUGUUUUUUGUUUUUUUAACUGGCCAAUGGUGUCUUUUCUCUGACAGUACCGACUUCAAUUUCAACUUUAUUAGGAGUCCAGUAUUUUGUACCACAUUAUGACAACUUGUUAUUCUUGUGGUGUAAAUAAAAAGAAAAAGUUAAUUAUAGUACCAUCUUUGUUUCUGUCACUGAUCUUUCUAUCUGAUGCCUCUGGUUUAAUUGCUCAGAGCUUGCUUGCCCAGACAGCACUGUCAGUGUAA